Erinaceus europaeus (western European hedgehog) is the source of this 551-nucleotide long non-coding RNA. RefSeq lists it as uncharacterized. The transcript is spliced from 3 exons. NCBI's taxonomy places the organism in Eukaryota, Metazoa, Chordata, Mammalia, Eulipotyphla, Erinaceidae. The record is from RefSeq and is a predicted model, not a curated record.
UCACAUACACACACUCACACACACACUCACACAUUCACACAUACACACACACACAUACACACACACACAAAGCACAGCUUCUACUCAGCUCCAAGAGCCAGAGACAUAGAGAAACUGAGCGAGAGAAGCAAAGAAACCCUUGCAGCUCUGCUUCAUCAUGUGUGAAGCUUCCCAUCUUCAGGACUAUCCACAGAAGCCCAGAUGAACGGCAGCCCGAGGACAAGCCGAACCCGGGGCCCCGCCAAGACCCUCCACUGGACGAAGAGACGAAGGGUCAGAGUGGAGGAGGUCCGAAGGUGCCCUGGGGACGUCCGAGUCAGGGAGACCCGGGUCCCACGCUGCCUCGGUGCCAGACAGUGUCGAGGAGGUGUCUGUCUCAGCCCCCACAAGGACCCGUGCAGGCCGGUCCGGUGCUCAGGCUGUGUGUCUCCUCGGCUGUGGGCUUCAUUUCUUCUUUGUUUUCUUCUUUGUUUUGUUGAUAACAACAGCGGGCAAUUGAGAAGGGUGGGUGAGAAAGAGAGGGAGGAAAAAAAAGAGACAUACAGCCUCUG